GCGAUACGUAAUGCGAAUUGCAGAAUUCAGUGAGUCAUCGAAAUCUUGAACGCAUAUUGCACUUUCGGGUUAGUCCUGGAAGUAUGUCUGUAUCAGUGUCCGUCGACACCAAAUUGUUUUAUCAUUGAUUGAUAGAGCAGACUGUGAAGGUCUUGUUUCGGCAAGUCCUUUGAAAUGAAGGUCCCUCGGUUGAUGUCAGAGUACAUUACAUAGAGGACUAUUUGGAUCUUGUUUCGGCAUUAUUUUGUGUUGCGACUGCACACUGGCUGAAGGGAGAUUAAAUUGCGGUAGUUUUGCUUGUGUUUCGGCACGGGUGAACAUGUAUUGCAUUUUAAUUCGACUGGAGGACUUGGGUGGUCAAAGAUGAAAUACGAGCAAGAGCCUUGUAGUCUGGUGUACUCCUAGCUCAAGUCGAGAAGCAAAUGGGAAUAAACAUCCAAUUUGGACCUGAUAUCAGACAAGACUACCCGCUGAAUUUAAGCAUAUAACUAAGCGGAGGAAAAGAAACUAACAAGGAUUCCCUCAGUAACGGCGAGUGAAGCGGGAAGAGCUCAAGCUUAAAAUCUCCACGCAAGUGGCGAAUUGUAGUCUAUUGAAGCUGUUGUCAGCAUAGCGACUUGGGAAAAGUCCCUUGGAAGAGGGCAGCAUAGAGGGUGAUACUCCCGUCUUUGCCCAAGUUGUCUGUGUGUACGACACGCUUUCUUUGAGUCGAGUUGUUUGGGAAUACAGCUCAAAGUAGGUGGUAAAUUCCAUCUAAAGCUAAAUAUUGGUGCGAGACCGAUAGCGAACAAGU
This 793-nucleotide unclassified non-coding RNA is filed under the name uncultured Aphanomyces. Its description in RNAcentral is "partial contains 5.8S rRNA, ITS2, and 28S rRNA". The stretch from base 444 to 793 matches the Rfam family "Eukaryotic large subunit ribosomal RNA", at positions 1 to 349 of the family's 3401-position model. Lineage: Eukaryota; Oomycota; Saprolegniomycetes; Saprolegniales. The record is from RNAcentral.